Lemur catta (Ring-tailed lemur) is the source of this 164-nucleotide small nuclear RNA. RefSeq annotates it as U1 spliceosomal RNA. The record is from RefSeq and is a predicted model, not a curated record. Lineage: Eukaryota; Metazoa; Chordata; Mammalia; Primates; Lemuridae. The transcript has a single exon.
AUUCUUACCUGGUAGGGGAGAUCCCGUGAUCAUGAAGGUGUUUUUUCCAGGGUGAGGCUUAUUCAUUGCACUUCUGAUGUGCUGACCCCUGUGAUUGCCCCAAAUGUGGGAAACUCAACUGCAUAAUUUGUAGUAGUGGGGGACUGCAUUUGCUCUUUCCUCUA